CCUACGGGGUGCUGCAGUGGGGAAUAUUGGGCAAUGGGCGCAAGCCUGACCCAGCAACGCCGCGUGAAGGAAGAAGGCUUUCGGGUUGUAAACUUCUUUUAACAGGGAAGAGAAGAAGCCGGUACCUCUUGUCCAAGCCACGGCUGACUACGUGCCACCACCCGCGGUGAUACGUAGGUGGCAAGCGUUCUCCGGGUUUACUGGGUGUCAAGGGCGUGCAGCCGGGCUGACAACGCAGCUGUGAAAUCCCGCGGCUCAACCGCGGAACUGCAUUUGAAACUGUCAGUCUUGAGUGCCGGAGAGGUCAGCGGAAUGCCUUGUGUAGCGGUGAAAUGCGUAGAUAUAAGGAAGAACACCAGUGGCGAAGGCGGAUGACUGGACGGCAACUGACGGUGAGGCGCGAAAGCGUGGGGAGCGAACAGGAUUAGAUACCCCAGUAGUC
This 442-nucleotide ribosomal RNA is filed under the name uncultured bacterium. Its description in RNAcentral is "partial 16S ribosomal RNA". It matches the Rfam family "Bacterial small subunit ribosomal RNA", at positions 338 to 795 of the family's 1533-position model. The record is from RNAcentral.